CCAAGGUGCCUUCUGAUUGGUUUAAGUGUGGCUCCCCGGUGAAGCCGAGGAGCCUGGUUAGGGAUCUGCCGGCUCAGAACAGCGACUGGACCCUGACCUCUGGCAGAGGGUUCCGUCCUUUCAGGAAGCUUUGCCACAUCCCGUGUGUACACUGGGUGACUAAUUAUUUAUUGUAGAGCCGCGUGAUGGAAUGGUGAACAAAGGUUGCCCCUGGCCACCUUUUGUCCGUCGCCACUGGAGCUUCUCCUGUGGGAUGGGAUGUUGCUGGGAACCCGCCACAGCGUCUGAGGCAGUAAUGAACGCCGCUUUAUGGUACAGCUCAGAACCCCUGGGCACGUACGGAGGCAGUGCAUUACACAUAUGUACGCCCUGCCUUUCUCGGGCUCAAAAGCGUUCUCUCAACCCUUCUUCCUGCCAUCACAGCUGCGGGUGACGUCAUGUUGAUGUUGGCUUCCGAAGGCCGGCGAGGAUCUUGGUGUGAUGUACGUGGCCGCACUGUGCUAGGUAACGGGGAAACCACGGUGUACUCAUUUACUCUGACCCAGUGAUACGGCAACUCACCCAAGCCCACACCAACUGCGGGUCCUUUGUGACUGACAGCUUUCCGAACGUUCUGCUUGCCCUGCUGCUUCCUCUUGGACUGUCUCCAUAAGAGUGAGCGGGUCUAUGGCCGUCACUACUGCCAUCCUCCACCGACAAGGUUCGUCUUUCCAGUGUGAGCUGAAUACCAGGGACGCUCCAGGGAUCGUCCGGGCCUUCGGCACCAGACUGGGACUGUUUGAAGCGCUCAGCUCUGUGAACUAAGAGUUACCGGGUUCUCAGCUUUUCCAGCCUGUGGACAGCCACUGGUGGACUGCCCAGCGCCUAGCGUGUAAGCCAAUCUAAUAAAUCCCCUUUUAUAAUGUU
Molecule: long non-coding RNA, 906 nt
Organism: Mesocricetus auratus (golden hamster)
Lineage: Eukaryota; Metazoa; Chordata; Mammalia; Rodentia; Cricetidae
Exons: 2
Source: RefSeq, a predicted model, not a curated record